UGGGGAAUUUUGCGCAAUGGACGAAAGUCUGACGCAGCAACGCCGCGUGGGUGAAGAAGGCUUUUGGGUCGUAAAGCCCUUUUCUGAGGGAAGAGCAAAGACGGUACCUCAGGAAUAAGCACCGGCUAACUCCGUGCCAGCAGCCGCGGUAAUACGGAGGGUGCAAGCGUUGUUCGGAUUUACUGGGCGUAAAGGGCGUGUAGGCGGAUGUGCAAGCUGGGUGUGAAAGGCCAGGGCUCAACCCGGGACGGUCUCCCAGAACUGCACGUCUAGAGAGAGUCAGAGGCAGGUGGAAUUCCUGGUGUAGAGGUGAAAUUCGUAGAGAUCAGGAGGAACACCGGCGGCGAAGGCGGCCUGCUGGGGCUUCUCUGACGCUGAGGCGCGAAAGCGUGGGGAGCAAACA
This 403-nucleotide ribosomal RNA is filed under the name uncultured bacterium. RNAcentral describes it as "bacterial SSU rRNA". It matches the Rfam family "Bacterial small subunit ribosomal RNA", at positions 355 to 774 of the family's 1533-position model. The record is from RNAcentral.